RNAcentral lists this ribosomal RNA (242 nucleotides) under uncultured bacterium. RNAcentral's name for it is "partial small subunit ribosomal RNA". It matches the Rfam family "Bacterial small subunit ribosomal RNA", at positions 26 to 285 of the family's 1533-position model. The record is from RNAcentral.
AGAAUCAACGCUGGCGGCGUGCCUAACACAUGCAAGUCGAACGAGAAAGGGAGCAAUCCCUGAGUACAGUGGCGACCGGGUGAGUAACACGUGACUAACCUACCCUCGAGUGCGGAAUAACAUCGGGAACCGAUGCUAAUACCGCAUAACAUCGCAAGAUCAAAGGAGUAAUCCGCUUGAGGAGGGGUCGCGGCUGAUUAGCUAGUUGGCGGGGUAAUGGCCCACCAAGGCGAAGAUCGGUA